GACGAACGCUGGCGGCGUGCUUAACACAUGCAAGUCGAACGGAAAGGCCCCACUUUUGUGGGGUGCUCGAGUGGCGAACGGGUGAGUAACACGUGAGUAACCUGCCCUUGACUUUGGGAUAACUUCAGGAAACUGCGGCUAAUACCGGAUAGGAGCUCCUGCUGCAUGGUGGGGGUCGGAAAGUUUCGGCGGUUGGGGAUGGGCUCGCGGCUUAUCAGCUUGUUGGUGGGGUAGUGGCUUACCAAGGCUAUGACGGGUAGCCGGCCUGAGAGGGUGACCGGCCACACUGGGACUGAGACACGGCCCAGACUCCUACGGGAGGCAGCAGUGGGGAAUAUUGCACAAUGGGCGGAAGCCUGAUGCAGCAACGCCGCGUGCGGGAUGACGGCCUUCGGGUUGUAAACCGCUUUCGGCUGUGACGAAGCGUGAGUGACGGUAAUUGGUAAAGAAGCACCGGCUAACUACGUG
Molecule: ribosomal RNA, 468 nt
Filed under: uncultured bacterium
Lineage: Bacteria
Description: partial 16S ribosomal RNA
Rfam family: Bacterial small subunit ribosomal RNA
Source: RNAcentral